AGCCGGGCCUGCCCACAGGAGGCUCACAGCCCAAGAAGGAAAGCAGGCUGGGAAACCAAGUCAGUUCAGGGGUUAGAGCUGCAGUAAAGAGGGGACCAAUGCGCACACUUGUUCAAACUUUAAAAGGAGAUUUGGGGCCCAAGGUAGGCCGGUUGCAUGCUGAGAAGGGUCAGUCCCUUUAAGCAAGGCGCUCUGCUUUGGUGAUCUGUGUGAUUCCUGCCUGGAGCCCAUACCCUGGCAUGGACGCUGUUUCGUGGAAGUGUUGCGUGGCGGAAUCCUUUCCCGCCUCGCUUCAACACUGUAAGCCCCGGGCCUCUUAACCUGUUGCUUCGUGCAGACCUUCUGGCCACCUUAACAGGGAUUCAGCCUCCUCAGUACGCUGAUCAGAAAUAAGAAUAAUAGGGAGACCCUUGUCCUAUACCUCACCCCGAGUUCUUGAAGUCCCUGACCAAGGGCGAAACUAUCCAUAUUCAGUUCCCUCUGCGGGUGCGAAGGUGGAAGGCUGGGGGCCCAGCAAGCAGGUCAGAGGUGAAUCAGGCACCUGAAUCCUGUGAGUCCAAAUGAGCAUCCCAAUGCACCUGGGGAAUAGACUGUCCCAUGUGUAGCCGCCCCACGAACCAUCCCUUGAUACUCCUUGAGAAGUCCCCUCACCUUGAUAAUACAGUGACACUGUGACUGGCUCCUGCCAGUAAGACCCAGUGGAAGGACACUGUGCUAGUUGCAGCCUAAGCCUUGAGAAGCCAGGCAAGUGCGGCACUCUGAGGGAGCCCCGUGCCACCGUGUAGAAUGGUCAGCUACCCUGAUGUGAAAAGCCCCUUGGAGAGGCCACGUGGAAAGGGGGGAACCUCAGCCUCCCGCUGGCCCGCCGCCUGAAUGCAGCCACGCAGUCAUCAGGAAGAGCACCAGAAGAACCGCUAGGCUGAUCCCGGCAGAAGGCAGAGCGUUCUCACAGAGACAUAGGGGACUUCAGAUGGAGAGCGAAAUAUCAGCUCUGUUAUCGGCAGACUGUACCCUGGAAGAGGAAGUUGAAAUGCCUGUGGUCAUGCGGGCUGACAACGAUGACACUACCUUUACCUGGGAGGAACCCGAGCUCUCAGGCUUCCUGAUGGCAUGCUGAUAGAGACGAAGAGAAAAACGCAGGAUGAAAACACGGAGCCUGGCGUGGUGGAGUCCCACAGACCUGCACACAGCUUCUGAUUCUGGCACUUUCCCUUGGUAUUAAGAAGUUGAGCCCGGAGGCUAUCCUUGCUCGUGGAGAGUGGCCCCCACGCUUCAGCUGACACGACUCCCAGCUGAGACGCAGACAAUUCCUGCUGUACUUCCCUCUAUGCGUUUUGGCGGAGAAGCCGGGCAUCAAACGGCCAGAGAGAACGCGCUCUUUCUCGAUGUAGCCGUGAUCGGCCUCAGCAGCCGGACUUCCGGAGCAACGAGAGCACACGCCUCCCUUCUGUACGGG
Molecule: long non-coding RNA, 1456 nt
Organism: Ailuropoda melanoleuca (giant panda)
Lineage: Eukaryota; Metazoa; Chordata; Mammalia; Carnivora; Ursidae
Exons: 6
Source: RefSeq, a predicted model, not a curated record